Molecule: ribosomal RNA, 408 nt
Filed under: uncultured Streptococcus sp.
Lineage: Bacteria; Bacillati; Bacillota; Bacilli; Lactobacillales; Streptococcaceae
Description: bacterial SSU rRNA
Rfam family: Bacterial small subunit ribosomal RNA
Source: RNAcentral
UUACCAGGUCUUGACAUCCCGAUGCUAUUCUAGAGAUAGAAGUUACUUCGGUACAUCGGUGACAGGUGGUGCAUGGUUGUCGUCAGCUCGUGUCGUGAGAUGUUGGGUUAAGUCCCGCAACGAGCGCAACCCCUAUUGUUAGUUGCCAUCAUUCAGUUGGGCACUCUAGCGAGACUGCCGGUAAUAAACCGGAGGAAGGUGGGGAUGACGUCAAAUCAUCAUGCCCCUUAUGACCUGGGCUACACACGUGCUACAAUGGUUGGUACAACGAGUUGCGAGUCGGUGACGGCGAGCUAAUCUCUUAAAGCCAAUCUCAGUUCGGAUUGUAGGCUGCAACUCGCCUACAUGAAGUCGGAAUCGCUAGUAAUCGCGGAUCAGCACGCCGCGGUGAAUACGUUCCCGGGCCUU